CUCCUACGGGAGGCAGCAGUAAAGAAUCUUUCACAAUGGGGGAAACCCUGAUGAAGCAACACCGCGUGGAGGAUGAAGGCGUUUUCGUUGUAAACUCCUUUUCUGAAGGAAUAACUUUGAAGGUACUUCAGGAAUAAGCAACGGCUAACUACGUGCCAGCAGCCGCGGUAAUACGUAGGUUGCAAGCGUUAUCCGGAAUUAUUGGGCGUAAAGCGUACGCAGGCGGUUUGUUAAGUUGGAUGUUAAAGCUUUGAGCUCAACUCAAAACAGGUGUCCAAUACUGGCAAGCUGGAGAUAGGCAGAGGUAAGUGGAAUUCUGUAUGUAGGGGUAAUAUCCGUAGAUAUACAGAGGAACACCAAAAGCGAAGGCAGCUUACUGGGCCUUUUCUGACGCUCAUGUACGAAAGCGUGGGGAGCAAACGGGAUUAGAUACCCCGGUAGUCCACGCCCUAAACGAUGAACACUAGUUGUUGGGGGUCUCGACCCCUUCAGCGACGAAGCUAACGCAUUAAG
This 513-nucleotide ribosomal RNA is filed under the name uncultured bacterium. RNAcentral describes it as "bacterial SSU rRNA". It matches the Rfam family "Bacterial small subunit ribosomal RNA", at positions 336 to 864 of the family's 1533-position model. The record is from RNAcentral.